UGUAAGCACUACAUUUAUUGCUCACUGAG
This 29-nucleotide non-coding RNA is filed under the name Mus musculus (house mouse). The record is from RNAcentral. Lineage: Eukaryota; Metazoa; Chordata; Mammalia; Rodentia; Muridae.